RNAcentral lists this ribosomal RNA (501 nucleotides) under uncultured bacterium. Its description in RNAcentral is "partial 16S ribosomal RNA". It matches the Rfam family "Bacterial small subunit ribosomal RNA", at positions 30 to 523 of the family's 1533-position model. The record is from RNAcentral.
AUUGAACGCUGGCGGCAGGCUUAACACAUGCAAGUCGAGCGGGGGAAGGUAGCUUGCUACUGGACCUAGCGGCGGACGGGUGAGUAAUGCUUAUGAAUCUGCCUAUUAGUGGGGGACAACAUCUCGAAAGGGAUGCUAAUACCGCAUACGUCCUACGGGAGAAAGCAGGGGAUCUUCGGACCUUGCGCUAAUAGAUGAGCCUAAGUCGGAUUAGCGAGUUGGUGGGGUAUAGGCCUACCAAGGCGACGAUCUGUAGCGGGUCUGAGCGGAUGAUCCGCCACACUGGGACUGAGGCACGGCCCAGACUCCUACAGGAGGCAGCAGUGGGGAAUAUUGGACAAUGGGGUGAACCCUGAUCCAGCCAUGCCGCGUGUGUGAAGAAGGCCUUAUGGUUGUAAAGCACUUUAAGCGAGGAGGAGGCUACUUUAGUUAAUACCUAGAGAUAGUGGACGUUACUCGCAGAGUAAGCACCGGCUAACUCUGUGCCAGCCGCCGCGGUAA